Molecule: ribosomal RNA, 253 nt
Filed under: uncultured bacterium
Lineage: Bacteria
Description: partial 16S ribosomal RNA
Rfam family: Bacterial small subunit ribosomal RNA
Source: RNAcentral
UACGGGGGGGGCAAGCGUUGUUCGGAAUUACUGGGCGUAAAGGGCGCGUAGGCGGUUGGAUAAGUCAGCUGUGAAAACCACGAGCUCAACUUGUGGCCUGCAGUUGAAACUGUCUGGCUAGAGUGUGGGAGAGGGAAGUGGAAUUCCUGGUGUAGCGGUGAAAUGCGUAGAUAUCGGGAGGAACACCAGUGGCGAAGGCGACUUCCUGGCCUGUUCUUGACGCUGAGGCGCGAAAGCUAGGGGAGCAAACGGG